This 459-nucleotide ribosomal RNA is filed under the name uncultured Rhodoferax sp. RNAcentral describes it as "bacterial SSU rRNA". It matches the Rfam family "Bacterial small subunit ribosomal RNA", at positions 923 to 1382 of the family's 1533-position model. The record is from RNAcentral. Lineage: Bacteria; Pseudomonadati; Pseudomonadota; Betaproteobacteria; Burkholderiales; Comamonadaceae.
GCACAAGCGGUGGAUGAUGUGGAUUAAUUCGAUGCAACGCGAAAAACCUUACCCACCUUUGACAUGUACGGAACCCUUUAGAGAUAGAGGGGUGCUCGAAAGAGAGCCGUAACACAGGUGCUGCAUGGCUGUCGUCAGCUCGUGUCGUGAGAUGUUGGGUUAAGUCCCGCAACGAGCGCAACCCUUGUCAUUAGUUGCUACAUUCAGUUGGGCACUCUAAUGAGACUGCCGGUGACAAGCCGGAGGAAGGUGGGGAUGACGUCAAGUCCUCAUGGCCCUUAUAGGUGGGGCUACACACGUCAUACAAUGGCUGGUACAAAGGGUUGCCAACCCGCGAGGGGGAGCCAAUCCCAUAAAGCCAGUCGUAGUCCGGAUCGUAGUCUGCAACUCGACUACGUGAAGUCGGAAUCGCUAGUAAUCGUGGAUCAGAAUGUCACGGUGAAUACGUUCCCGGGUCUU